RNAcentral lists this ribosomal RNA (641 nucleotides) under uncultured bacterium. RNAcentral describes it as "bacterial SSU rRNA". It matches the Rfam family "Bacterial small subunit ribosomal RNA", at positions 84 to 762 of the family's 1533-position model. The record is from RNAcentral.
CUUCGGGUCUAGCGGCGGACGGGUGAGUAACGCGUGGGAACGUGCCCUUUGCUACGGAAUAGUCCCGGGAAACUGGGUUUAAUACCGUAUGUGCCCUUCGGGGGAAAGAUUUAUCGGCAAAGGAUCGGCCCGCGUUGGAUUAGGUAGUUGGUGGGGUAAUGGCCUACCAAGCCGACGAUCCAUAGCUGGUUUGAGAGGAUGAUCAGCCACACUGGGACUGAGACACGGCCCACACUCCUACGGGAGGCAGCAGUGGGGAAUCUUACACAAUGGGGGCAACCCUGAUCUAGCCGUGCCGCGUGAGUGAUGAAGGCCUUAGGGUUGUAAAGCUCUUUCAGCUGGGAAGAUAAUGACGGUACCAGCAGAAGAAGCCCCGGCUAACUCCGUGCCAGCAGCCGCGGUAAUACGGAGGGGGCUAGCGUUGUUCGGAAUUACUGGGCGUAAAGCGCACGUAGGCGGACUGGAAAGUUGGGGGUGAAAUCCCGGGGCUCACCUCGGAACUGCCUUCAAACUAUCAGUCUGGAGUUCGAGAGAGGUGAGUGGAAUACCGAGUGUAGAGGUGAAAUUCGUAGAUAUUCGGUGGAACACCAGUGGCGAAGGCGGCUCACUGGCUCGAUACUGACGCUGAGGUGCGAACGCGU